AAUUUUUCACCAGGGGGGAAACCCUGAUCCAGCCAGCCCGCGUGUAUGAUGAAGGCCUGCGGGUGGUAAGGUACUUUUGGCAGAGAUGAAAAGGUAUCUCCUAAUACGAGAUACUGCUGACGGUAUCUGCAGAAUAAGCACCGGCUAACUACGUGCCAGCAGCCGCGGUAAUACGUAGGGUGCAAGCGUUAAUCGGAAUUACUGGGCGUAAAGCGUGUGUAGGCGGUUCGGAAAGAAAGAUGUGGAAUCCCAGGGCUCGACCUUGGAAAGUCAUUGUAAACUGCCGGGCUAGAGUAUGUCAGAGGAGGGUAGAAUUCCACGUGUAGCAGUGAAAUGCGUAGAGAUGUGGAGGAAUACCAAUGGCGAAGGCAGCCCCCUGGGAUAAUACUGACGCUCAGACGCGAAAGCGUGGGGAGCAAACA
RNAcentral lists this ribosomal RNA (422 nucleotides) under uncultured bacterium. RNAcentral's name for it is "partial 16S ribosomal RNA". It matches the Rfam family "Bacterial small subunit ribosomal RNA", at positions 360 to 774 of the family's 1533-position model. The record is from RNAcentral.